RNAcentral lists this ribosomal RNA (205 nucleotides) under uncultured bacterium. Its description in RNAcentral is "partial 16S ribosomal RNA". It matches the Rfam family "Bacterial small subunit ribosomal RNA", at positions 524 to 728 of the family's 1533-position model. The record is from RNAcentral.
CACGUAGGGCGCAAGCGUUGUCCGGAAUUAUUGGGCGUAAAGAGCUCGUAGGCGGUCUGUUGCGUCCGCUGUGAAAACUCGGGGCUUAACCCCGAGCCUGCAGUGGAUACGGGCAGACUAGAGGUAGGUAGGGGAGAAUGGAAUUCCCGGUGUAGCGGUGAAAUGCGCAGAUAUCGGGAGGAACACCGGUGGCGAAAGGCGGUCA